GUCUUUUCAGAAAUGGGAUUAGUCUUUUUUUGCCUGUACUUUCACUUUAGAUGGCUGUCCUCAGUCAACCCUUUCUUGAUAUUUAUUUAUCUUCCUUAAACAAAUACUCAUCUCUGGUUCUCUCGUUUUGAUUUACACAAAGUAUUCCUUUUCCUGUUCACUUCUUCUAUUGAUCAGAGACACUUGCUCCGCUUCGCACCUUAAGAGGAGAUGACUUCAAUAAACAUGAAACAGGUUUUUCAAGACUUCAAGAUAUGAAUGGAACAGGAUAGACCGUAUUUUUUCCACCCCAAGAAGGCAUCUAAAUUCAGAAUAGAAAGUGAACCUGAGUUUUAAAUUAAAUUAGUUUAAAUUGUGAAUGGGACACUCAGUAGUGGUGUUAGCGGGUAGGGUGGUAACGGAACCCAUAAAGCAGCUGUGUCUUUCAAAAGCAGCUGGAUGUGAGCUCCGUUUCCAUCCCGUUUCGCAACAUCCAACAGUCUGACCGUUUGUAGAGAGAAACAUACUUCCUGGUGUACUUGAGUCAGUGAGUGUCUUUUAGUGUGAUGUGGCUGCAGUUGACUCUUCAAUAACUAAUAGGUGAUGUUCUUCAAUGACACGUUUUCUCCCGGAUUGACACAAACUAUAAGCCCCGGGAAUUUCGUGUCAGCAAAGAAUGACACCAGCUUCUAUAUAGGACAUGAGCAGCUUAAGCUAUUUAUUUUAGCUGAUUAAUGUAGUGUGCAAAUUGAUUUAUCAUCAGGCUAUUGUUUCUGAAUUGUUGCCCUGUUAUUCUGAAUUAAAAUAUAACUGGAUUUUA
Long non-coding RNA from Oncorhynchus nerka (sockeye salmon), 799 nucleotides. RefSeq lists it as uncharacterized. The transcript has 2 exons. The record is from RefSeq and is a predicted model, not a curated record. NCBI's taxonomy places the organism in Eukaryota, Metazoa, Chordata, Actinopteri, Salmoniformes, Salmonidae.